UACAGAGGGUGCAAGCGUUGUCCGGAAUUACUGGGCGUAAAGCGCGCGUAGGCGGACCUGCAAGUCGGGGGUGAAAGCCCGAGGCUCAACCUCGGAACUGCCUUCGAUACUGCGGGUCUCGAGUCCGGGAGAGGUGAGUGGAAUUCCUAGUGUAGAGGUGAAAUUCGUAGAUAUUAGGAAGAACACCAGUGGCGAAGGCGGCUCACUGGCCCGGUACUGACGCUGAGGCGCGAAAGCGUGGGGAGCAAACAGG
This 253-nucleotide ribosomal RNA is filed under the name uncultured bacterium. RNAcentral's name for it is "partial 16S ribosomal RNA". It matches the Rfam family "Bacterial small subunit ribosomal RNA", at positions 524 to 776 of the family's 1533-position model. The record is from RNAcentral.